This 261-nucleotide ribosomal RNA is filed under the name uncultured bacterium. Its description in RNAcentral is "partial 16S ribosomal RNA". It matches the Rfam family "Bacterial small subunit ribosomal RNA", at positions 72 to 334 of the family's 1533-position model. The record is from RNAcentral.
UUCUUGCAAACUAAAGAUGGCGACCGGCGCACGGGUGAGUAACACGUAUCCAACCUGCCGAUAACUCGGGGAUAGCCUUUCGAAAGAAAGAUUAAUAUCCGAUAGUAUAUUAAAACCGCAUGGUUUUACUAUUAAAGAAUUUCGGUUAUCGAUGGGGAUGCGUUCCAUUAGUUUGUUGGCGGGGUAACGGCCCACCAAGACUACGAUGGAUAGGGGUUCUGAGAGGAAGGUCCCCCACAUUGGAACUGAGACACGGUCCAA